Molecule: small nuclear RNA, 106 nt
Organism: Sorex fumeus (smoky shrew)
Lineage: Eukaryota; Metazoa; Chordata; Mammalia; Eulipotyphla; Soricidae
Source: RefSeq, a predicted model, not a curated record
GUGCUCAAUUUGGCAGUACAUUUACUAAAAUUAGAGCAUUAUAAGAGAAUAUUAGCAUGACCCCUGUGCAAGGUUACCAUAAGUUCCUGAAGUAGGCCAUUUUGCC